Non-coding RNA from Phodopus roborovskii (desert hamster), 75 nucleotides. Lineage: Eukaryota; Metazoa; Chordata; Mammalia; Rodentia; Cricetidae. The record is from the annotation of a RefSeq genome assembly.
GUUAGGGUGGCAGAGCCCGGAAAUUGCGAAAGGUUUAAAACCUUUUACUCAGAGGUUCAAGUCCUCUCCCUAACA